Molecule: RNA transcript, 3055 nt
Organism: Ananas comosus (pineapple)
Lineage: Eukaryota; Viridiplantae; Streptophyta; Magnoliopsida; Poales; Bromeliaceae
Exons: 14
Source: RefSeq, a predicted model, not a curated record
CUUCGCCUCCUACAAAUAUCUGAUCCUCCAUGUUCGGACGGUUUAGGAGCAUCCGCUUCCACUUCCGCAGUUCCACUGCCACGAGAGAAACGCGGAGGAGGAGAGCGAGAGGGACGAAGAGGCGAACAAUGGCGCUCCUAUGCUUCAUGCUCGAUCUCCGCAACAUCCCCCCUCCCCUCCUCCGCGAUCUCAAACAGUGUUUGCUGCAGCUCGCGAAUCUCUACGUGAUGUCGCGGGGGAGAGGGGAGAGGGAGGGGGAGGCGGGUACGAAGGAGAUCCUCGCCCUACGAGAUCGGAUAGGUUUGUGCUACAUCGACCGGAGCAGGGCCCCUUCGUCCUCCGCCGAGCUGAAGAUUGCAUAUCGACCUGGAGAAAGAUUCAGUCUCCGAGAUUUUCAUCAUGCUGUAAACAGCUUACCCGUAGAUAGCUUUCUGCCUGAACUGAGAGACUCUAUGCAUGCCAAAAGUGACGAUCGAGACGUAUCACUGGCAACACUUUUCAGUAAUAAGGCGCUGUAUGCAUGGGGUGGUGAUGAAGUAUCAAAAAAGGUGAUUGCUAUUUGUAUGUCUUCAUGCAUGAAAACUGAAGCUAUUCGUAAAUCUCUUCUGGAUGCAGCAGAACAAUGUGUUACGGUGGAGUUUCUACUACUGGAUCCCGAAGAGGAAAACACACUGAAUGAUGCUUCUAAGGCACUUUGUGGAUUUGUAAACCAACUGUGUGAUCUUGAAAACUGUGUGAUCCGGAGGUACAUACCUGAUUCUUCAGUAUUGAACAGCCUAGUUAAGAGAUGGUUAGAAGAGCUAAAGAAUGAUGCAGAAGAGCCACUUCAAGCUGUCUUUCUCUUCAAAAAUGCAAGUCUGGGUUCUUCUGAUCGAAUAUCUUGCAAUUUGUUUGCUUCCUUCUGUCAGAUUAUUGAUGGUUUCGUAUCAUGUCAGACAUGCAGGUGCCACGGCCAUCCAAUUGAUAGCAGAGUCGCUGAUAAAAUGAGGAAAUCAUGUCCUCUUACCUUCCAAGAACUAGAGGCGUCAGAUCUCAUUGAUAAUGCAGUAAAGGUUGGAGAACAAACUAUCUUGUUUCUUAGCUCUUUUGAAGGGGAUUCAGACCUCCGACGAGUUUCUGCACCGAUAACUUUCAAUGUAAUGGAGCGAACAAACUUGGCAUCCCUAGAUGAAGGUGUGAUAGUGGGGACAUCCUAUAUGGUUUCUCCCAGUUCUCAUGACAUUGAAGCUACCCUGGAUGAAUGUGAUAAGUCGAAUCUGAAUACUCAACUUUUUUAUGGUCUAUGUGGAGCUCUUUACCGUCUAGAUCAGGGACUUGUAUGCUAUUCAACAUGUAAUAUGGAAACCAUGAGAGAUGGCUCCUUCCUAUGUUUUUAUAUUCUUCAACCUUCAGAGAAGGGGCUAAUGCUUCUAAGGAGGCUUGCUGGAUCUGAAGAAAUCUUGCCCAUUCCUAAUGUUAGCAAAGCAUGCGAUGUCACUAUAUCAGAAGAGAUUAAGAGCUCCAUCCAUGCCUCUUUAUCCAAGAUCGAACUAAAAGAUUACAACCCUCUCCAUCACGAAAGAGGUUACCACCCAAAAGUAAACUGGCUGGUGAGACAGAGUCUACAAUUUGGAUCGGCUGCUCCAAAUUGCCCUGAAAUAAGUCUGAAACCAAGCAAUCCUGAAUCCCUUAAAGAAGAAAAGAAGAAGACCUGUUCUAGUGUUACGGAUGAGUGGGAGAAACUUCUCAUUGUUGAUGAUGGAAUGAAUGAUAGCUAUGGAGAAACCUCCUCCUCCAGUUCAAAACCUAAGAUUCCGAGUCUGAAAAUAUCAGCUCAGCCUAAACUGUUGGAUGAGAAAACCUCAAGAAUUCUCGAGAGACUUGAAAUCCCGAAGCCUCAGAAAAGAAAGAAUUCUUCACCCUCAGUUCCCAUUAAUAAUGUUGUUAGUGAGGAGACGAAGAAGCCGUUGAUACCUUUUGAGCCAAGCUCAAGUCAGCCGCUAAAGCCCAACUUCCAGAGGCUGAAAAAGAAGCUGAAAUAGACACACAAGAAUUAGAGGUGCUACUUUGAUUUGUCUAGUUCGAAAUAAGUUUGCUUAUUGCUAGAAGUUUAGUUUUACUUGGUAAUAAGAUUUGUGAUACUUCAUAAAUGGAACGUUUUGUCAGUAGUAAGUCCUUUUCAAACCUGUCUUUGUCAGUGAAAGAGCUAAUCCAAGGUUAGGUAUAUAAGCAGGACAGUAACAUUCCUAGAGCCCAGGCUUUAUCUAGUAGGCCACACAUUGUAUUGCAUUUCCUUUUCAGAUUGUCUCCCAUCAUUGGCUGUCUGAAAAUUGUGUUAGUAGUGAUGAUUUUGGUUUCCCUUGGUAAUUUCAUAUCAUGGUCAAGUCAUAUAAUAGUGCCGUGUUAGAAAUAGCCACUCCUAACGGGAUUACAUCCGCAUCCGUCGGCAGCUUGAUUGCUCGCCAUGAGCAAUCUUAUUACGUGUGGAAGUUGUGUCAUGAGGUGAACUGGUAGAAACUUCCAUGUUGAAAACCAAAGUUUGCAGAACUCUAAAUUCUUCUCGAACGUCAAGUCAAGGUAGUAAAGUAACCCGAUCAUGGCUUCAUUUGCAGUUAGGGAUCGUGAACCACUUAUGAAGUUUUUGGCAUUCAGUUGGAGACCGCGAAUCUGCCGAUCGUGAUCCACCCUGUGCAGUUUUUUCGCCUUAAGGUACACAUCUCCUUUUCUCCUGACAAAUAUUUUUUAACUGAAGUGCUAUGAUUUAGGUAUGUAAAUGACUUUACCGCAUAGACUUGAGCUAGUUGGGUUAGUAUUACUAUUGGAAGGGUAGAUAGGGUGAUUGCAAUUGACGUGCUCUCCUCAUCAAUGGUCCCCCUUAGUAUAUAUAUAUUUGUCUAAUAUCGUGCCAUUAUCGUCCACUCUUUGUACGCUGAUGCAUCGGUCGGUUGGACUGUACUGUACACCACUUUCAAACUGGUGGCUAGUGGAGAUUAAUUGCAUACUAGAGUUUUCUGUUUGUUUCAUCAUGUUUCAUCAGAUAGUGAUGGGCCAUAUGUGGAGUUUGUGUUUUCAUUCA